CUAGAUGGGAAAGCGCCAGCACUGCAGCUGCCCGACGUGGAGUGCAGUGGACGAGGUGGAGGUUUAUCGAAGCAUUCGGCGGAUGCCUCCCGGCCGAGUAUCGCGGCCGCGGAGCGCGGGGGCAAAACAACAGGGCGACUUGUUGCACAAGACCCGCGCAUGAUACAGA
This 169-nucleotide non-coding RNA is filed under the name Brevibacillus borstelensis. Its description in RNAcentral is "GlcN6P sequence". It matches the Rfam family "glmS glucosamine-6-phosphate activated ribozyme aptamer". From Rfam's summary of the family: This entry contains a glucosamine-6-phosphate activated ribozyme that is found in the mRNA for GlmS. GlmS is an enzyme that uses fructose-6-phosphate and glutamine to generate glucosamine-6-phosphate. Lineage: Bacteria; Bacillati; Bacillota; Bacilli; Caryophanales; Paenibacillaceae. The record is from RNAcentral. RNAcentral also lists the same sequence under 1 other name.